UACGUAGGGGGCAAGCGUUAUCCGGAUUUACUGGGUGUAAAGGGAGCGUAGACGGAAUUGCAAGUCUGAUGUGAAAAUCCGGGGCCCAACCCCGGAACUGCAUUGGAAACUGUAUUUCUAGAGUGUCGGAGAGGCAAGUGGAAUUCCUGGUGUAGCGGUAAAAUGCGUAGAUAUCAGGAGGAACACCAGUGGCGAAGGCGGCUUGCUGGACGAUGACUGACGUUGAGGCCCGAAAGCGUGGGGAGCAAACAGG
Molecule: ribosomal RNA, 253 nt
Filed under: uncultured bacterium
Lineage: Bacteria
Description: partial 16S ribosomal RNA
Rfam family: Bacterial small subunit ribosomal RNA
Source: RNAcentral